CGCCUCGCCCCGCAGUGGAGGCCGCCCGCGGGCUCGCCGUCCAUCUUUGGGUCUGGGGGCCGCGCGGCCGUCCCCUCAGCGGCUGCUCCCGACGAGGGCGCCCGACGCGCCGCCGGGGAAGAGGACGGUGCCCCCCGGGCGCGAAAUGGGUUCCCGAGGGCGAAGCCGGAACGCCUGAAGUCGUUUUCUGCUCUUAAUUUACUUUUUUGGAGGUUUGUGGGAGAAAAUUAUCUGCAACAACGUUUACCAGCACCUUCGAGAUAGGAGUAUUUCAGUUAUAGUCCCAGCCCCCGCUUUCUGGGCGGGUCUUUGUUUUUUACUAAAAGGUAGCAUUAUUGGACAUUUCUAGUGGUUUUGUUUUCUCCCACUUUCUCGUGAAAGCCCAGAAACCGUUUCCAGAGAGAAAUGCUUGCCUCGGACCUCCCUGGCGGCGUGAGACCACGGGGUCGCCCCUGCGGAGGACGCGGUGGCUCUGAGUCAGCACGGGCUGUGGCGUGGCGAGGAGUCGGUUGCUUCAGUGGUUGCAGCAGAGCCGCCGCCCGGCUCGCGAAUGCAGAGUCCUGCCGGGCCCGUCCCCUUGCGGCCUCAGACUGAGGGACACCGGCAGCUGGACACAGUACUGUGACAACAGCAGCCAAGGAGCCGCGCAGAGUGGAGCCGGAAAGAGUGCAAUGGCAUCACAUAGCUCACUGCAGCCUCAAACUCCUGGGCUCAAGAGAUCCUCCUGCCUCAGCCUCUCAAGUUGCCGGGACUUAUAGGUUGGAGUCGGGGCAGAAGGAAACCAGCAGCUGUGCUACAAGGCAGAACAACGCACAAUGUCACAUCAAAGAGACCCCCAGGUCCCAAAGGCCCAUGUAGCUUUGGGGGUUCCCAUGCUCAGGCUGCCACCCUUCAAGUCCUCUGUGGCCACACUAAUGGGAUCUUUAAUAAAAGUCAGUGGUGCCGUCCCCAGAGUGGUGGCUCCUGUGUUCUCCAAAGGCCCUGCCAGGAGCCACCUCCUGCGCUCAUGCCUUUGUUGACAUCACCCCGAAAGUCCUCUGGCGUACCUCCAGCCCAGCAGCUGUGGCCAGGUUAAAGGUCUGUGCCCACCCGACCCAACUUCCCUCGCAGAAAGAUCUUGUGACAAAAAGGACCUGGGGGACGUGACGGCUUAGGCAGCAGUGCUGUGUCAGUGCUGGCAAGAGCUGGAGGAUGAGGAAGCUGCAUGGCUCCUCCUUCCUCCUGAUGUGUUUGUGGGGGAGGGGGACACUGCCACUCUGUUAGCCUUGGUCACCCUGAGGACUUGGGGCCAAAUUUUCUUUGAAUAUCUCUGUAUGAUUUUACUUGUUGCCACAAGCUGUUAUGACCUGCAGUUUGAAGGAAAAAUUCCACCUGGCCUAAAAAAAGAAAAGGGGGAAUUAAAACAAGUAUAAAUUAUAAGCACCAUGUUUAAAUGUGGAAAAAUGUUUGCUGUAAGAAUGGCAGAACCGCACACAGCACGUCCUCACGCCUGUGUGCCGCACACAUGCAGGGCUGUGCGCAGAAAUGCAGCUUCCCAGGCCAGUGGCUUUGUGGACAUUCUAAAUUUAUUAAGCAGUAGAUCGUCUUUUUCAAUAAAAUGGAGCGUCAGACACACUCACUAAAACGUAAUAAACAUAACCGAGAGGCACUGGUUUCAGUGUUGCCCUGGCUGUGUGGAAGAUCCGCAGUGUUUGUUACAUUACCUAUGCUUCUGUCGACUGCCUGAAAUCCUUCCUCAUAAAACAACUUUUUUUUAAAUGCAGCUAGAUGGCAGCUGGUGGCCUAGGGCUGCUCCCGAGUUCCAUUUGCUGGGUGACUCCACCAGCCCAGCCAGCAUCAUUCCUCCUUCUUGCAGACUCAAGGGAUGUGUCUGUGGUCAAAAGCGGAUCUGCAUCCCAAGGGGAACUCAGGAGCACACAGCUGCUCCAUGAGCAAAGGUGUAUGCGUGUCCUAGUGCCACAGCAAAUCAUCACCAACCUGCACACUGAAACGAGGAGUUUGUUCUCUCACAGUUCUAGAAGCCAGAAGUCCACAGUCAAGGUGUGGGCAGGGUUCACUCCCUCCUCCAGAGUCCUUCCUGCCUCCUCCAGCCUCUGGGGGCUCCAGGUGCUCCUGCACUGCUCAUGGCCGCAUGGCUGCAGUCUCUGUCUUCACCUGGCCUUCUCCCCAUGUGUCUGUGGCCUCCUCUUUUUGUAAGGACACUAGUCAUUAGAUUUGGGACCCACCUAAGUCCAGAAUGAUUUCAUGACAAGAUCCAUAACUAGUUGUAUCUAUAAAGACCCUACUUGCAGACAAGGUUACAUCCUUAUGUUCUGGCUGGACAUGAAUUUGGGGGGUGGGAGGGAUACUGUUCAACCCAGUAUACCAGGACACUCAUUUGUGUACUUCUGGAGAGAGCUUUGAGAAAUCAGAAGGCACUUGUUGGCCUGCCCCGCCCCUUCACCCUGGGCUGGAGGCUGGAGUGCAUGGCACUGCGACUUGGAUCUGGAGUGGAGUCUCCCGGUCAAGAGAAUCCCUUCCCUGCCCUGCUUUCCCAGGAAAAUGAUGCUCAGAUCUGCUCCACCAAGACCCCCUCACCAGGGACAGUUCGGGUGCCCACCAGCAACAGUCAGGACAGACACACUGGGCACUCCCUGCGUGCCGGGUUCAGCCUGGUGUGCAGAUGAGGGGCUGUAGCUCAAGGUUAAGUGAGUGCCCCAAGGUCUCAUUCUUGGGAGGGGCAGAAACCCAGGACUCAGACCUGAAAGCUGACAGACCCUUCCGUCCAAGCACAGAUUAGACGCCUGCUUGCUGAAUUAGAGUCAGGCCUGCUUCUCUCAGAUUGACCUAGAUCUCCUGAGUGAGGCUGUCUACAAACUCGCAAAUGACUCAUUGCAACAGCCUCUUGGCUGACUCCCACAAUGGCUAACUAGAGCCAUCGUGCACGGACUUUACUAGCAUAACUCGGAGAGGUCAUUUCAAAGUUCAGGAGGGAAUGGCCCUCCUGGCGGCACUCCAAGGAGUCAGCCUUCUUGUCCGUCUCCUCCAGCUCAGAGCACGAGCAAGGAACGGCGUUACCCCCAAGGAGAGAAGCCUGCCAGCAUCUGGGCUCCCCGCUUCCCCAGGGAGGGUCAGCGCUGCUGGGCUUUACUUCCCAAGCACGAUGCCCGUCGGGUGACUUCUUAGGAUCGCCUGUUGCUUUGGUUAAUUCCUAAAUAACUUGCCCAUCAUUCAGUUCACAUGCCCGGUUUACAAAAGCCCAGCCCCAGUCCCUGAAAACCUUUAGUGUCAUGACAGGUGCUUUGGAAGAUGCACCAAACCACAGAUUUUGUCACUGAUAAUGUUAAUUUAGUAAGCGUUUAAUAAAUGAUGUGGUAUGGAAAGCUAA
Lemur catta (Ring-tailed lemur) is the source of this 3367-nucleotide long non-coding RNA. RefSeq lists it as uncharacterized. The record is from RefSeq and is a predicted model, not a curated record. The transcript is spliced from 3 exons. NCBI's taxonomy places the organism in Eukaryota, Metazoa, Chordata, Mammalia, Primates, Lemuridae.